UACGGGGGGGGGCAAGCGUUUGUUCGGAAUUACUGGGCGUAAAGGGCUCGUAGGCGGCCAACUAAGUCGGAUGUGAAAUCCCCAGGCUUAACCUGGGAACUGCAUCCGAUACUGGAUGGCUUGAAUCCGGGAGAGGGAUGCGGAAUUCCAGGUGUAGCGGUGAAAUGCGUAGAUAUCUGGAGGAACACCGGUGGCGAAGGCGGCAUCCUGGACCGGCAUUGACGCUGAGGAGCGAAAGCCAGGGGAGCAAACGGG
RNAcentral lists this ribosomal RNA (255 nucleotides) under uncultured bacterium. RNAcentral's name for it is "partial 16S ribosomal RNA". It matches the Rfam family "Bacterial small subunit ribosomal RNA", at positions 524 to 776 of the family's 1533-position model. The record is from RNAcentral.